GAGGUCCCUUUACUACAGUUCAGAGUCGCGGACCUUCAGUAAUAGUAAUAAAUCACACAGCAACAGUACAUUCACGUUGUUGUAAAAAGCAUGAUAAUAUUGUAGCGGGUCAGGGCUGUUCGGGGUUCUUCUUGUACAGUUAUGUUUUGUGUAUGUUGCCAUGGUGACGGGUGACGCCCUCUCGCUGCGACGGUGUGUCCUUCCGGGGUCAGAGGGCGCCCUAUGUGUGUUGUGGUUGCCGCGCUGAGCAGUUAGCUAGUGGCAGUGUGUUCUUCUGCAAAUGUUAUAAACGGCUGUGCUCCCUGGCUAGCUCACGGGAAGCAAGACCAAACGAUACCUCCGUCUCCUCCUUGUCUGAACUCGCCACAAUAUAUUAAGUAAUCCAAAGUAUUCAGAAUACGUUACUGUCAUUGAGUAACGUAACGGAAUAGGUUACAGAAUACAUUUUGGGGCAUGUAUUCUGUAUUGGAAUACAUUUUAAAAGUAACCUUCCCAACACUGUUUAGAAGCUACUCAUAGCCUCGCUUUGACCUCUGAUCUGACCUCUUACUGCCCUCAGGUACCAGUAUGCAGAAGCCUAAAUUAAAUGAAAGUGACUUACAUUAAACUAAACAGGACGUGUGACAAAACCAAAGCUUCUGCCUGGAAUGAGGUCCCAGCAGUCACGGUGUCUUUGGAAAAGUAAUAAAAUGCCUUAAUGUCGCAGGUUCCUGGUCCCUGUCAAACCGCUUUAGUUUGAGUCUCUGCGGCCUGACGAGGCGACGCUGCAAACGUUUACUCAGCAAACUGAAGCGUCGAACACAGCAGUGAAGCGAGGCUCGAGAGGCUGGUGCUGAGAAAUGCUUCCUGCACUUUUUCGAGCUUCACUCGUUGUUUCAGGUUUUAUUUUGUUGUCACUGUGAUGCACUUUUUAAAGCGAAUGAUUGUGUUGUAGGUCAUCAUUACUGACAUUUUCCUGCUCUGUAACACUUUCAGCAGCUCUGCUGUCUCAGAAUAAUAUUUUCUUCUAUGUGAACUUUGUUUACAAACACAUUUCAUGCAGAGAAUAAAAGAAGAAGAAAAUCAAUUUGCAUAAGAUUAGAAAGUAACGGUGCAGCUGUAGUGUCCAUCUGUGGCCUGCAGGGGGCAGCGCAGUCUCAGGAGCUGCUCUCAGUAUAUUAAAUAUGAGUUUUAUAAGUUUCUGAAGAGCGAAGUUUUUCCUGCACAGCUGUGAGGAGAGAGGCUGACGCUGCUUACUCUGAAAUCAGACCAUUCUUCAUUUUUCAAAAUCAAUUAAAAAAAUCUGAUGAUCAACAAACCAAAGACUCACUAUUUCUUUGCUGUAUGAGAACUUUAGUGUGUGUGUGCGCACUGAGGUCAUGUGACUGGUUUGGUAGGUUCUGGUUGGCUCUCUAGGAGACGUUUCCAGAAAUCUGCUCCAGUUUUCCUCUGA
Molecule: long non-coding RNA, 1432 nt
Organism: Astatotilapia calliptera (eastern happy)
Lineage: Eukaryota; Metazoa; Chordata; Actinopteri; Cichliformes; Cichlidae
Source: Ensembl